CUCAUGAGGUGUAUAUGUUCUAUAUCUUUCAGAAAUCUGAGGAGGAGGAGAAAUAUUUCUCUUUUCCUUCUCUAAAGAAUAAUCCUGAUUGGUGCAGGAGGAUUAUAAA
RNAcentral lists this long non-coding RNA (109 nucleotides) under Canis lupus familiaris (dog). RNAcentral's name for it is "lncRNA (ENSCAFG00000058274.1, ENSCAFG00845007519.1)". The record is from RNAcentral. Lineage: Eukaryota; Metazoa; Chordata; Mammalia; Carnivora; Canidae.